CUACGUGCCAGCAGCCGCGGUAAUACGGAAGGUCCGGGCGUUAUCCGGAAUUAUUGGGUUUAAAGGGAGCGCAGGCGGGAGUAUAAGUCAGCUGUUAAAUAUCAGAGCCCAACUCUGUUAUGCAGUUGAAACUAUAUUUCUUGAGUACGCACAGGGAUGGUGGAAUUCAGGGUGUAGCGGUGAAACGCUUAGAUAUCCUGAAGAACUCCGAUCGCGAAGGCAGGUGUCCGGGCUGCAACUGACGCUGAGGCUCGAAAGUGUGGGUAUCAAACAGGAUUAGAUACCCUGGUAGUCCACACAGUAAACGAUGUAUACUCGCGGUUUGCGAUAUAUUGUAAGCCGCCAAGCGAAAGCAUUAAGUAUACCACCUGGGGAGUACGCCGGCAACGGUGAAACUCAAAGGAAUUGACGGGGGCCCGCACAAGCGGAGGAACAUGUGGUUUAAUUCGAUGAUACGCGAGGAACCUUACCCGGGCUUGAAC
This 482-nucleotide ribosomal RNA is filed under the name uncultured bacterium. RNAcentral's name for it is "bacterial SSU rRNA". It matches the Rfam family "Bacterial small subunit ribosomal RNA", at positions 501 to 986 of the family's 1533-position model. The record is from RNAcentral.